This 244-nucleotide long non-coding RNA is filed under the name Elaeis guineensis (African oil palm). RNAcentral's name for it is "long non-coding RNA (EGUI_LNC063442)". The record is from RNAcentral. Lineage: Eukaryota; Viridiplantae; Streptophyta; Magnoliopsida; Arecales; Arecaceae.
GCCUAAGCAAGCAUUGAGUUUUGCAUCAAAAAAUAUGAAGGGCAAAGAAGCUUUGUUGUAAAGCUAGUUUUAACUCAUAGUUUGUUUAAUUCGAAUAAAUAGGUCCGAGAGAUAUUCUAUACUUAGUGUCCUAAAGUCAUCUGGUUCAGGAGUUAUUGGCUAAAAACUCACUACUGGGUCAAACAAAAAGCUUAAGGGGUUAAAACACUCAAUAGCAGUAUAACAUAAAAUAAUAAUAAUAAUA